Molecule: microRNA precursor, 119 nt
Filed under: Orobanche cernua var. cumana
Lineage: Eukaryota; Viridiplantae; Streptophyta; Magnoliopsida; Lamiales; Orobanchaceae
Description: miR156f
Rfam family: mir-156 microRNA precursor family (bases 19-103)
About the family: This family represents the plant microRNA (miRNA) precursor mir-156. Animal miRNAs are transcribed as ~70nt precursors and subsequently processed by the Dicer enzyme to give a ~22nt product.
Source: RNAcentral
GAGAGAGAUGGGAUCAGACUGACAGAAGAGAGUGAGCAUACGUGGGCAGUUGUAUAAAGAGUAUGCAUUUGCAUAUACGUGUGCUCACUUCUCUUCCUGUCAUUUACUUUGUCUCUCUA